GCAUAUCAAUAAGCGGAGGAAAAGAAACUAACAAGGAUUCCCCUAGUAACUGCGAGUGAAGCGGGAAGAGCUCAAAUUUAAAAUCUGGUAGUCUUUGGCUGCCCGAGUUGUAAUCUAGAGAAGCGUUAUCCGCGCUGGACCGUGUAUAAGUCUCCUGGAAUGGAGCGUCAUAGAGGGUGAGAAUCCCGUCUUUGACACGGACUACCAGGGCUUUGUGAUGCGCUCUCAAAGAGUCGAGUUGUUUGGGAAUGCAGCUCUAAAUGGGUGGUAAAUUCCAUCUAAAGCUAAAUAUUGGCGAGAGACCGAUAGCGAACAAGUACCGUGAGGGAAAGAUGAAAAGAACUUUGGAAAGAGAGUUAAACAGUACGUGAAAUUGUUGAAAGGGAAACGCUUGAAGUCAGUCACGUUGGCUAGGAAUCAGCCUUGCUUUUGCUUGGUGUAUUUCCUGGUUUUAACGGGUCAGCAUCAAUUUUGACCGGUGGAAAAAGGUCGAGGGAAUGUGGCAUCUUAGGAUGUGUUAUAGCCCUUGGUCGUAUACAUCGGUUGGGAUUGAGGAACUCAGCACGCCGAAAGGUCGGGUUUUCUAACCACGUUCGUGCUUAGGAUGCUGGCAUAAUGGCUUUAAUCGACCCGUCUUGAAACACGGACCAAGGAGUCUAACAUGCCUGCGAGUGUUUGGGUGGAAAACCCGAGCGCGUAAUGAAAGUGAAAGUUGAGAUCCCUGUCGUGGGGAGCAUCGACGCCCGGACCAGACCUUUUGUGACGGAUCCGCGGUAGAGCAUGUAUGUUGGGACCCGAAAGAUGGUGAACUAUGCCUGAAUAGGGUGAAGCCAGAGGAAACUCUGGUGGAGGCUCGUAGCGAUUCUGACGUGCAAAUCGAUCGUCAAAUUUGGGUAUAGGG
RNAcentral lists this ribosomal RNA (901 nucleotides) under Lulesia popinalis. RNAcentral's name for it is "Clitocella popinalis partial large subunit ribosomal RNA". It matches the Rfam family "Eukaryotic large subunit ribosomal RNA", at positions 38 to 922 of the family's 3401-position model. The record is from RNAcentral. Lineage: Eukaryota; Fungi; Basidiomycota; Agaricomycetes; Agaricales; Entolomataceae.